CCUAGCGUGGCCGUCGACGGUUCCCGAAAGGGAUCAAAAGGGAACGCGGUGAAGGGCCUUUGCCCGAUCCCGCGGCUGCCCCCGCAACUGUGAGCGGAGAGCCCUCCAUCACCACGUCACUGGGCGAGCCUUCGCCUGGGAAGACGAUGGAGGACAACGACCCGCGAGCCAGGAGACCUGCCGUCAGCCGUGGUCACAC
This 199-nucleotide non-coding RNA is filed under the name Paramagnetospirillum magnetotacticum. Lineage: Bacteria; Pseudomonadati; Pseudomonadota; Alphaproteobacteria; Rhodospirillales; Magnetospirillaceae. The record is from RNAcentral.